UUGAAAUCGAUUUGCUAAAGGUUUUGACAAAGACGCCAAUUUUUCUCGAAAAUGAUUCAAUUCGUUCCUUUUUCACUGAGAGUGUUUGUUCGUUGGGGAUUUUGCCAUUGAAUAUGGCUAAAAUUGAGCUUGAAAAAGCUAAAGCGAUCGCAUUGUUUAUUAUCCAGCAGCGGAUAAUAAACAAAUUGGACAAAACGUUAAUCUUACGUGCUCAAACAAGUCAAGUCUUGCAAUCCAAAGUGUGUGUUUGUCGGAGAUAUUGCCAUCAAAUACAACUGAUUCAGAGCUCAAUGAAGCUGAAGCGAUCGAAUUGCUUUCAGAAGAGAAAACAAACUAACUGGUACGAGUGUCGAUUAUACAUGUUCCAACGAGCCACAGCUAGCAGCACAAAGUAAAAGAAAUGAUGAUGUCUUUUCUCCGGAGCUUCUUUCGCAGACAACCUAUUUCUCUUGAAAACAUUGGAACCCUUUGCUUUGUCGAGGAAAUUGUUCAUUUAUCGAAAACAUUGCCGGCAAAUAAUGCGAGUGAAGAGUCCAGUCAGACUGAAGAGUGCGAAAUGUUUCCGGCAACUGAUAACAACACACUAACCUAUUCGUUGAUCAGAUGUCCUCAAAUACCACAUUAAAAACUAUGCCAACAAAACUUUCUGCAAGUGUUUCGCAACACUCUGAUGCAUUUAAAAACUUGGCUAUUCUAAGCAUCACUCCGACUUCUCUAACAAAUUUAACAGUUUCUGAGGAAGAUAACAGUGCCGAUUUUAAUAAUAGCGUAUGAGAUUGGGACGAUAUUGCGUUUAAUGUUUAUAAAUCUGUGCUUCCAUAACAAAAACAAAAUAAUGACGUUGACGAAAAAAGAGACACAGAGCUUCCGAUUCCAAAUUGUCGUACAAGCGAAGAUGCUAAUCGAUUGAUUAGCGAGGUCCCUAACAAGCCCAAUCUUUCUGAUAAGGAGAACGACAGUCGCAGCUCUGUCGUCUCUAAUAACUCCAGCGAUUUUUCGUACGUGCCUGAUUUUGAGAGUUCGAAUGGUAGCAUAGGACAAAAAGAACAGAAUAAUACCGAUAUUAAUAAUGUUUCUACGACAUCUCAAAACAUAUCGACGGAUUUGGAUGCUUCUUUUACAGUCAAUAAAGUUGAACCAGCGCACCAGACGACGUGGAAAUGUUUGUAAAAAGCGCUGAAUCUGGAAUUAAAAAGAAUUUUUGUGUUUUCUGCAAGGCGGAACAAGGAAAGUUAAGCCGACAUGUUAUCCGUAAGCACAAGGAUGAAGAGGAGGAAGUUCAAUUUUUGAGCUUCGAGAAAGGAUCUAACAAACGGAAGAAAAUAAUGGAAAAAAUUCGAAAACGUGGACAAUUCUAUUUUAAUACGAAUAGAGCUAUUAAUACUGGAGAACGAAUAGUUACGCGGAGGCCGAAUGCCAAGUAUAAAAAACUUGCUACAGAUUUCGUGACGUGUUCAUCAUGCCUUGCUGAUUAUGCAAAAACUUCUCUUCGACACUUGGAAUGAUUUAGCUGCCAGUAGCCUCAUUUCUAUUCGGCUGUUCAACAGACGUCGAGCAGGCGAAAUUGAACGGUAUAACUUUCCCCAGAUUGUGAAUUGCACGUAUUUUUGAGCUGCUUUCUGAAAAUCUUUAAUUAAUAUCCGUUUGAUUUCGCCUGGUCGACGUCUGUUGAACAGCUGAAUACCGAACAAAUACGGGUUGUUUUUAUUUACGUUUGCCAAAUGCCUGUUUUUUAAAAGAAGUUCUAAGCACAUUAGAAGUUCCCUGUGCAAUAACACUGGUACUGUACGGUUCAACUUUCCCCGGAUUGUGAAUCGUACGUA
Molecule: long non-coding RNA, 1823 nt
Organism: Temnothorax curvispinosus
Lineage: Eukaryota; Metazoa; Arthropoda; Insecta; Hymenoptera; Formicidae
Exons: 4
Source: RefSeq, a predicted model, not a curated record